CGACGCCGCGUGGGGAUGAACGCGUUCUCGGAGUUGUAAACCCUUUCGGACCCGGACGAAUGACCCGCAAGGGUUUGACGGUACGGGUAAUAAGAAGCCCCGGCUACUACGUGC
Molecule: ribosomal RNA, 114 nt
Filed under: uncultured bacterium
Lineage: Bacteria
Description: partial 16S ribosomal RNA
Source: RNAcentral